CUGCAGCUCAAGUGGUGACCGCUAUUAUUGGGCCUAAAACGUUCGUAGCCGGUUUGGUAAAUGUUUGGGUAAAUCGUGUAGCUUAACUAUACGAAUUCCGGAUAGACUGCCAAGCUUGAGACCGGGAGAAGCUAGAGGUACUCCUGGGGUAGAGGUGAAAUUCUGUAAUCCUAGGGGGACCACCAGUGGCGAAGGCGUCUAGCUAGAACGGGUCUGACGGUGAGGAACGAAGCCCUGGGGCGCAAACCGGAUUAGAUACCCGAGUAGUCC
Molecule: ribosomal RNA, 270 nt
Filed under: uncultured archaeon
Lineage: Archaea
Description: partial 16S ribosomal RNA
Rfam family: Archaeal small subunit ribosomal RNA
Source: RNAcentral